Molecule: long non-coding RNA, 340 nt
Filed under: Nicotiana benthamiana
Lineage: Eukaryota; Viridiplantae; Streptophyta; Magnoliopsida; Solanales; Solanaceae
Description: long non-coding RNA (NBEN_LNC004205)
Source: RNAcentral
AACUCGGGAUUCUUGACUCCAUGUUGAUCUAAGUCAUGCAUUGCAUUUUCCCUUUCACAUGAUUUCUAACUUGAGCGUCGGAGACGUCUAACGAAUGUUUGCAGGUAUCGCCCUAAAGGCAGGGGGAAUUAUAAAGAUUGAUGCAGAAUAUAAUCGAUUUCUCUUUAGUAUAUAAUCGAUUGUCUAGUAUCAAUAAUCGAUUACGUUGAUAUUAUUUAUUUUUUUCUUUUACUUUUUCCAUUUUUGCUAAUGGCAAAAGGGGGAAGAAUAAGGGACAUGCACUAAUUUUUUAUUGGCAUAAAUUGAGGGGGAAUGCAUAUGUUGAGGGGGAACUAAUUGC